This is a non-coding RNA of Rattus norvegicus (Norway rat), 1118 nucleotides long. The record is from RefSeq and is a predicted model, not a curated record. NCBI's taxonomy places the organism in Eukaryota, Metazoa, Chordata, Mammalia, Rodentia, Muridae.
GUAAACAUGGGAACAGGAGAGCUCAAGGAGGAAGAGAGACAGAGGGAGAGGGUACUGGGAUAGAUACCUAGAAUUGGGGAGCAGUUGAUGGGAGGUGAUAUGAAAACCUACUGCAGUGGAAACACUGGAAGCUUUGGGAUGACUCUAGAGCAUACGUCUAGUAAUGGGGAAUACAGAGCCUAAAUUGGCCAUUUUCUGUUACCAGGCAAUUCUUCCAGUGAAGGAACUGGGACAUCAAGCCAGCCACAAAACCUCUAAUCUACAUCCUGUCCUACUGGCAAGAUUGCUGCCUACUGAAUUGUCAUCAAAGAGCCUUCAUCCAGCAACUCAUGGAAACAGAUACAUACACCCACAGUGAAAUAUUAGAGGGAGCUUGGGGAACCCCUACACAAGAUAGAAAGGAAGAACUAUAGUUAUCAGAGUGCUGAGGAGACCACAGAAUCAACCAAGGAUAUCUCGGGGCAUUCACAGAGUCUGAUGUGGCAAUCAUGAAACCUGUGUGAACUUUUGAUACAUGUUAUGGUUUUUGUAGCUUGGUGUUCUUGGCAGACACCUAAAAGUGGGAAUGGGAGUGUCUCUUACUCUUUUUGUGCUCUUCAAAGAAAGGAAGAUGAAAGGAAGAAGAAAGGAAGAAGAAAGGAAGAAAUUAAGGAAAGUGGAAAGAAAGAAAGAAAGAAAGAAAGAAAGAGAGAGAGAGAGAAAGAAAGAAAGAAAGAAAGAAAGAAAGAAAGGAAGGAAGAAAGAAAGAAAGAAUGGAGGGAGGGAGGGAAGGAAAGAAGGAAAGAAAAGGAAGAAAGAAAGGAAGAGAAAGCAAGGAAGAGAGAGGAAGAGAAAGGGAAAAAGGAAGGAAGGAAAGAAGGAAAGAAAGAAAGAAACAAAGAAAGAAACAAAGAAAGAAAGAAAGAAAGAAGGAAGGCUGCUUCCCAAUAAAAAGUAACUAUACAUUCUAACACUGUAAACCUUAUAAUUUUUACAUUUUGUUUCCUUCUGUAGGCAAGUCUAAUAUGUUUUAUUCAUUAGAAGAAAUAAAUAGCGGGAUGAAAUCUCUGGGUAGAAGAUUGCGUAGGUUGUUUUACACCAUCAUUCUGGUUAAAUAAAUUCAUACAAAAAUAAAUGAA